UACAGAGGGUGCUAGCGUUGUUCGGAAUUAUUGGGCGUAAAGGGCGCGUAGGCGGCCCUGUGUGUCGGGUGUGAAAGCCCACCUCUUAAAGGUGGAAUUGCAUUCGAAACUACAGGGCUGGAGUGUCGGAGAGGAUGGCGGAAUUCCUGGUGUAGAGGUGAAGUUCGUAGAUAUCAGGAGGAACACCGGUGGCGAAGGCGGCCAUCUGGACGGUGACUGACGCUGAGACGCGAAAGCGUGGGGAGCAAACAGG
Molecule: ribosomal RNA, 253 nt
Filed under: uncultured bacterium
Lineage: Bacteria
Description: partial 16S ribosomal RNA
Rfam family: Bacterial small subunit ribosomal RNA
Source: RNAcentral